This 1174-nucleotide ribosomal RNA is filed under the name Bacillus sp. NCCP-75. Its description in RNAcentral is "bacterial SSU rRNA". It matches the Rfam family "Bacterial small subunit ribosomal RNA", at positions 56 to 1214 of the family's 1533-position model. Lineage: Bacteria; Bacillati; Bacillota; Bacilli; Caryophanales; Bacillaceae. The record is from RNAcentral.
UGCAGUCGAGCGGACAGAAAGGGAGCUUGCUCCCGGAUGUUAGCGGCGGACGGGUGAGUAACACGUGGGUAACCUGCCUGUAAGACUGGGAUAACUCCGGGAAACCGGAGCUAAUACCGGAUAGUUCCUUGAACCGCAUGGUUCAAGGAUGAAAGACGGUUUCGGCUGUCACUUACAGAUGGACCCGCGGCGCAUUAGCUAGUUGGUGGGGUAAUGGCUCACCAAGGCGACGAUGCGUAGCCGACCUGAGAGGGUGAUCGGCCACACUGGGACUGAGACACGGCCCAGACUCCUACGGGAGGCAGCAGUAGGGAAUCUUCCGCAAUGGACGAAAGUCUGACGGAGCAACGCCGCGUGAGUGAUGAAGGUUUUCGGAUCGUAAAGCUCUGUUGUUAGGGAAGAACAAGUGCGAGAGUAACUGCUCGCACCUUGACGGUACCUAACCAGAAAGCCACGGCUAACUACGUGCCAGCAGCCGCGGUAAUACGUAGGUGGCAAGCGUUGUCCGGAAUUAUUGGGCGUAAAGGGCUCGCAGGCGGUUUCUUAAGUCUGAUGUGAAAGCCCCCGGCUCAACCGGGGAGGGUCAUUGGAAACUGGGAAACUUGAGUGCAGAAGAGGAGAGUGGAAUUCCACGUGUAGCGGUGAAAUGCGUAGAGAUGUGGAGGAACACCAGUGGCGAAGGCGACUCUCUGGUCUGUAACUGACGCUGAGGAGCGAAAGCGUGGGGAGCGAACAGGAUUAGAUACCCUGGUAGUCCACGCCGUAAACGAUGAGUGCUAAGUGUUAGGGGGUUUCCGCCCCUUAGUGCUGCAGCUAACGCAUUAAGCACUCCGCCUGGGGAGUACGGUCGCAAGACUGAAACUCAAAGGAAUUGACGGGGGCCCGCACAAGCGGUGGAGCAUGUGGUUUAAUUCGAAGCAACGCGAAGAACCUUACCAGGUCUUGACAUCCUCUGACAACCCUAGAGAUAGGGCUUUCCCUUCGGGGACAGAGUGACAGGUGGUGCAUGGUUGUCGUCAGCUCGUGUCGUGAGAUGUUGGGUUAAGUCCCGCAACGAGCGCAACCCUUGAUCUUAGUUGCCAGCAUUCAGUUGGGCACUCUAAGGUGACUGCCGGUGACAAACCGGAGGAAGGUGGGGAUGACGUCAAAUCAUCAUGCCCCUUAUGACCUGGGC